GACCGAUAGUGAACUAGUACCGUGAGGGAAAGGUGAAAAGAACCCCUAUUAGGGGAGUGAAAUAGAACCUGAAACUGCAUGCCUACAAUCAGUCCGAGCCUUUUUUAGGGUGAGGGCGUACCUUUUGUAUAAUGGGUCAGUGACUUAAUUUAUUAAGCAAGCUUAAGCCAUCUAGGUGUAGGCGCAGCGAAAGCAAGUCUUAAUAGGGCGAUUAGUUUAAUGAAUUAGACCCGAAAACGAAUGAGCUUACCAUGAGCAGGUUGAAAGUUGGGUAACACCAACCGGAGGACCGAACCAGUUGACGUUGAAAAGUCUUUGGAUGACUUGUGGUAAGGGGUGAAAGGCCAACCAAAUUCGUAGAUAGCUGGUUUUCCGCGAAAACUAUUUAGGUAGUGCGUCGAAUAAAUAGAUGUUUAGAGGUAGAGCACUAAAUGGGCUAGGGGGAAGAGAUUCUUACCAAACCUAAUAAAACUCCGAAUGCUAGACAUUGUUCUUCGGCAGACAGACUGUGGGUGCUAAGGUCCAUGGUCGAGAGGGAAAGAGCCCAGACCACCAGAUAAGGUCCCAAAAUCAUGAUUAAGUGUGAAAGGAUGUGGAAAUUCCAUAACAGCCGGGAGGUUGGCUUAGAAGCAGCCAUCCUUUAAAGAUAGCGUAACAGCUCACCGGUCUAAUAGAGUUUCUGCGCCGAAGAUGUAACGGGGCUAAAAUCAUGUACCGAAUCUGUGGCUUUGCAAAGUUUUCGGACUUUGUAAGGGGUAGCGGAACGUUCUGUAAGCCUGUGAAGGGAUACCCGUGAGGGAUCCUGGAGGUAUCAGAAGUGCGAAUGCUGACAUAAGUAACGAUAAACGAAGUGAAAAACUUCGUCGCCGAAAAUCUAAGGGUUUCUAUGCAAGGUUAAUCCGCGUAGAGUUAGUCGGCACCUAAGGCGAGGGCGAAAGCCGUAGUCGAUGGAAACAAGGUUAAUAUUCCUUGACCUGAUGGUAGUGACGGAUUCUGUAAGUUGUGAGUUCUUAAUGGAUUGAACUUGCCGCGAAAGAGUCCCAAGAAAUAGCUCCAUCAUUAAGACCGUACCCGAAACCGACACAGGUAGAUUAAUAGAGUAUAUUUAGGCGCUUGAGAGAAUGAUGUUGAAGGAACUCGGCAAAAUGCUUCCGUAACUUCGGGAUAAGGAAGACCCUUUUGUAGGCAACUAUAGAAGGGUGGCACAAGCCAGGGAGAAGCGACUGUUUAUCAAAAACACAGGGCUCUGCUAACACGUAAGUGGAUGUAUAGGGUCUGACGCCUGCCCGGUGCUGGAAGGUUAAUGCGGUUGGUGCAAGCUAACUUCUGAAGCCCCAGUAAACGGCGGCCGUAACUAUAACGGUCCUAAGGUAGCGAAAUUCCUUGUCGGGUAAGUUCCGACCUGCAUGAAUGGCGUAACGAUUUCUACCGCUGUCUCCAACAUCAACUCAGUGAAAUUGAAUUCUC
RNAcentral lists this ribosomal RNA (1467 nucleotides) under marine metagenome. RNAcentral's name for it is "bacterial LSU rRNA". It matches the Rfam family "Bacterial large subunit ribosomal RNA", at positions 482 to 2051 of the family's 2925-position model. The record is from RNAcentral.